CUUCACAAUAUGUUGGUGCAUUGUCCCUAACAGUCCUCGCUUUGCAAGUAUAGUAGAAGAAGAUAUUUGUAGGUGGUUUGAUGCCAUCUGUUUAUUACGUGGGACCCACACAUGGAACUUGUGCAUUCCGAUGGAAGCGGGGGCGGGCACAGUUUUGAGUGGCGUACUGCCGUUUGGAGUCCCAUUGACACGGUAGAAGGCAACCUACGAUGGGAGCGGCGUCAAGAAGUAUGACGACGAUGACGGUGCAACCGUUGUUGGGCUCCGUAAAUAGAAACAAAGCUAAGGAUGGGAAUGAUUAAGUUUGAAGGCUGUAUUUUUUUCAUACAAACUUUUGCAUACAAUCUUGGAUGAACACAAACUUUAUAUCAAAAUUGUAGAGCUCGAUGAGAUUUUAAACUUUGUAGUUGACAACUUUUUCAUUCGAGAUAGUUUAGUAGUCCAAAAAUAUGUUAUAAGUUCUGAGAAAAAAUACAUUUGGCAUGUCAUCGAUCCACAACUCCAAAACCGAGCAUUCCUAUUAGCCAAACUCUCCUCCCACCCUUCCCUCUCACCAGCCAACCUUAUCUCCUCCCUCUCUCUUCUCUCCUACCUCUCCUCUCUCUCCCGGCCCUAUCUCCUCUCUCUCUCUUUCUCUUCUCCCACCUCUCCCCUCUCUCUUCUCUCCCACCUCUCCGGCGCGCCCCGGCGGCCGGCGCGGCCCCCUCCACCUCCACAAUUGCAGUAAAGUUUGAGGAUCUUUUUGCAAAAUCAUCAAGACAUAUUCCAAGGACUACGGGUUGAUAAAAAAAAAGUUGAGGGACUUUUUGCAAAACAACCACGACGGUUGGAAGAAACAACCGUAUUUUAAUAUUAGGUAUAGAUAAUGUACCAGCUAGGCAAAUGAAAUAGUCUGAAAAAAU
Molecule: long non-coding RNA, 902 nt
Filed under: Setaria viridis
Lineage: Eukaryota; Viridiplantae; Streptophyta; Magnoliopsida; Poales; Poaceae
Description: long non-coding RNA (SVIR_LNC000168)
Source: RNAcentral